Vollenhovia emeryi is the source of this 888-nucleotide long non-coding RNA. RefSeq lists it as uncharacterized. NCBI's taxonomy places the organism in Eukaryota, Metazoa, Arthropoda, Insecta, Hymenoptera, Formicidae. The record is from RefSeq and is a predicted model, not a curated record. The transcript is spliced from 2 exons.
CUUUGGAAAGAGAUAAACGUGAAUUAAACCAAGAUCAAAGUUGAGCGACGUUUGGUGAAACCGGGCCUCGUAAUUUGCCUAAAACCGGCUUGAAAUUAUCAACGGCCGACGGUCGCGUGGCCGAAUUGCAAGGAUGGAUAUCGAGCUGCCUUUAAGUCUUUUUUCCUCUCCCGCGAAAGAAACCGGAUAAAUGUUCGUUGUUCCGUUCUCGAGACGUUGGAACGUCCGUAAAGAGUUUAUCCGUAACUGUUAACCGCCGCGCUUCUUCUGGCAAUCCCGUAUGUGUCUGUCGAAUCGGGAAAAGGAAGCAACAUUGGUCAACGUUGACGAUCAGUAAACCCGUAAAGACUAGCUCGCGAUCAAACGACUUGUGCAUUUAAGCAACAUUUAACUUCAACCGCGUGUUAACAAAUCCCGGCCCGAGGUAAACCUCGCGGUCCCAUUUUUCGAGAGACGUGGCAGGUUUUUUUUUCUCCCCCCCCCCUCUCCCCCCUGUAAGGCUCAAGCACACGAGGUACACACUUUGAUUCGACGAUUUCUCAAGUAUUCUAUUUGACACCAUAUCGCGAACAUUUAAUGUUGUUAUGAUUGUAUUAACGCCAUUAACGACUUACAAUUAAAUAAAUCAUGUAUGGGGAUGUAACACACGUUUAAUAAAUACUUUUUUGCAAAUCAGCCUGCGCCGCUGUCAUACGUCAUCCGUCUUUAUGCGACUCACUGUGUGCGUAUAAGAAACGCAUAAAUUAUCGAUAUGAUUUCUAUCUAAAUGUUUUUUUCCGUGCGCGAUUCAGCGUAAUCGAUAUGCUAGAUCCUGACGGUUCUCUCAUACAUUCGUAGUAAUGUUAAUCUAUUGAUCAUGUAAAACAUUAAUAAAGUAAUUUCAGUCAA